Molecule: non-coding RNA, 109 nt
Organism: Deltaproteobacteria bacterium RBG_16_44_11
Lineage: Bacteria; Deltaproteobacteria
Source: Rfam
UAGCCCUUUUAAUACAAUCCGGCGAGAUUGAAAAAGGAACCGGUCAUGAAGAAAAAAUUAUCUUUAUUUUAUAAAGCCUUCCUCCGCAAGGGGGGAAGGCUUUUUUAUU